CGCGAAGAACCUUACCUAGACUUGACAUCUCCUGCAUUACCCUUAAUCGGGGAAGUUCCUUCGGGAACAGGAAGACAGGUGGUGCAUGGUUGUCGUCAGCUCGUGUCGUGAGAUGUUGGGUUAAGUCCCGCAACGAGCGCAACCCUUAUUGUUAGUUGCUACCAUUUAGUUGAGCACUCUAGCGAGACUGCCCGGGUUAACCGGGAGGAAGGUGGGGAUGACGUCAAAUCAUCAUGCCCCUUAUGUCUAGGGCUACACACGUGCUACAAUGGCAAGUACAAAGAGAAGCAAGACCGCGAGGUGGAGCAAAACUCAAAAACUUGUCUCAGUUCGGAUUGUAGGCUGAAACUCGCCUACAUGAAGCUGGAGUUGCUAGUAAUCGCGAAUCAGCAUGUCGCGGUGAAUACGUUCCCGGGUCUUGUACACACC
This 429-nucleotide ribosomal RNA is filed under the name uncultured bacterium. RNAcentral describes it as "bacterial SSU rRNA". It matches the Rfam family "Bacterial small subunit ribosomal RNA", at positions 960 to 1391 of the family's 1533-position model. The record is from RNAcentral.